Stylophora pistillata is the source of this 556-nucleotide long non-coding RNA. Lineage: Eukaryota; Metazoa; Cnidaria; Anthozoa; Scleractinia; Pocilloporidae. The record is from RefSeq and is a predicted model, not a curated record.
CAAAUUCCAGCUGGAAUAUCUCUGUGUCUUCAAGUUCAUCACGGCGACUCAGGAUCACAUCCAUUCCUAUUAAAGGACAAAUUUGAAGAACGCGCUUCCUCGAUUUUGUGUGUCCUGGAAGUUUUCUCAUAAGUGAUAUGUCCCUGGUAUCUGAGUGUAGGAAACCAGCAAACGUAUGGCUGCAAAGAAACAAGGAAGAAUAUUGAACUGGCUCACCUUCAUAGGCAAGUCUAAACCUGAUGAUGACUUGUGCAGACACACACCAAGGUCAGCUGAACCUUUAAUGUUCCUUCAAAGGUCCCUUGCCUGUCAUGGAGAACAGAAAAAACACAGAGGUUCAGUUAGUCCUUCUCAUUACUGGAGUGUUUUAGCAGAAAAACAGAUCAAGGGCUUUGAUAUUUUUAGGUGGUUCUUACCUUCAAGAGAAUCCAGUAAAAUUGAGAAGUCUUCAUCUUCUGUAAACAAUAAAACGUGUGUCCUGAGUUAAAACACAGUGUUGUGACUACUGUAGACAACAUAAUUUGAAUAUAUCAACAAAGUUGAAAUGGUAAAUUGG